Molecule: transfer RNA, 68 nt
Filed under: Corthylus rubricollis
Lineage: Eukaryota; Metazoa; Arthropoda; Insecta; Coleoptera; Curculionidae
Description: tRNA-Ala
Source: RNAcentral
AGGAUAUUAGUUUAAAAUUAAAACAAUUAAAUUGCAUUUAAUAAUUAUUUUUAUAAAUAUAUCUUAAU